RNAcentral lists this long non-coding RNA (579 nucleotides) under Heterocephalus glaber (naked mole-rat). Its description in RNAcentral is "lncRNA (ENSHGLG00100035730.1)". The record is from RNAcentral. Lineage: Eukaryota; Metazoa; Chordata; Mammalia; Rodentia; Bathyergidae.
CUCUGCUGUGGAAACCGGACUCAACCUUUUCAGGAUGGCACUGAACCCAUAGAAUUGUUGGACAAUUUCAAAAGCGGAGACAGACUCAAAGGACUUGGAAUUGAGAUACCUAGAAAAGAACUUGGUAAGGAGAAAAGAAAUAGAUCUCCAGGAAUCAAGAAAAAAAGCCAACAGGAAAACUAGAAACUAUAAACUGAAGACAGCAGAGAAAAGAACAAAGCCAUCUGGAAUGUUAACUGUGGCUCCUGGGGAGUAGGUACUGUCUCUGCAAACACAAGUUCAUUUUCUCCUCUCUGAAUGAUCCUGGGGAUCAAGUUCCCAAAAGACAGGAGGGCACUAGGAAGACCAUCAAAUAUUACACUGAACAGGCUGAAGAAAGGUAUAAACUCCAAAGCAUAAUCAAACCCAAGAACAAAUCAUAGGGAGACAGAAUCUGGAGAUCUCCACAGUAGUAACAGUUUCUCUAUCCUAACUGAUCUUCAACACAGUGUGAAAAAAACAGACAUGAGAAAGCAAGGGAAUAUGUCCCCCAAAGCUUUUAACUCCCCAAAAGGUGAUUUCACAGACACUGAAGUAGAG